RNAcentral lists this transfer RNA (70 nucleotides) under Eutrema salsugineum. It matches the Rfam family "tRNA". Rfam says of the family: Transfer RNA (tRNA) molecules are approximately 80 nucleotides in length. Their secondary structure includes four short double-helical elements and three loops (D, anti-codon, and T loops). The record is from Rfam by way of RNAcentral. Lineage: Eukaryota; Viridiplantae; Streptophyta; Magnoliopsida; Brassicales; Brassicaceae.
GUCAGGAUGGCCGAGUGGUCUAAGGCGCCAGACUCAAGAGAGGGCGUGGGUUCAAAUCCCACUUCUGACA